This 770-nucleotide ribosomal RNA is filed under the name uncultured archaeon. RNAcentral's name for it is "bacterial SSU rRNA". It matches the Rfam family "Archaeal small subunit ribosomal RNA", at positions 64 to 833 of the family's 1478-position model. The record is from RNAcentral.
GUUUCUUCGGAAACCUUGGCGGACUGCUCAGUAACCCCUUGGAUAACCUACCCUUGGGACUGGAAUAACCCCGGGAAACUGGGGAUAAUACCGGAUAGAUCAGGGAUGCUGGAAUGCACCUUGAUCCAAAGCUCCGGCGCCCAAGGAUGGGUCUGCGGCCUAUCAGGUAGUAGUGGGUGUAACGUACCUACUAGCCAACGACGGGUACGGGUUGUGAGAGCAAGAGCCCGGAGAUGGAUUCUGAGACACGAAUCCAGGCCCUACGGGGUGCAGCAGGCGCGAAACCUUUACAAUGUGCGAAAGCAUGAUAAGGGAACUCCGAGUGCCAGUAUCUAAUACUGGCUGUCCUUGUGCCUAAAACGCACAAGAUAGCAAGGGCCGGGUAAGACCGGUGCCAGCCGCCGCGGUAACACCGGCGGCCCGAGUGGUAGCCGCUAUUAUUGGGUCUAAAGGGUCCGUAGCCGGUUCGAUAAGUCCUCUGGGAAAUCUGGUUGCUUAACAAUCAGACUGCCAAGGGAUACUGUCGAACUUGAGACCGGGAGAGGUAAGAGGUACUUCAGGGGUAGGAGUGAAAUCUUGUAAUCCCUGGGGGACCAUCUGUGGCGAAGGCGUCUUACCAGAACGGGUCUGACGGUGAGGGACGAAAGCUGGGGGCGCAAACCGGAUUAGAUACCCGGGUAGUCCCAGCCGUAAACGAUGCUCGCUAUGUGUCAGGUACGGUGUGACCGUAUCUGGUGCCGUAGGGAAGCCGUGAAUCGAGCCACCUGGGA